Molecule: non-coding RNA, 1339 nt
Organism: Chlorocebus sabaeus (green monkey)
Lineage: Eukaryota; Metazoa; Chordata; Mammalia; Primates; Cercopithecidae
Source: RefSeq, a predicted model, not a curated record
AAGCGAACUAACACUUACAAUUGACCCAAUAAUUUGAUCAACGGAAUAAGUUACCCCGGGGAUAACAGCGCAAUUCUAUUCUAGAGUCCAUAUCGACAAUAGAGUUUACGACCUCGAUGUUGGAUCAGGACAUCCUAAUGGUGCAGCAGCUAUCAAGGGUUUGUUUGUUCAACGAUUAAAGUUCCUACGUGAUCUGAGUUCAGACCGGAGCAAUCCAGGUCGGUUUCUAUCUAUUAUAUAUUUCUCCCUGUACGAAAGGACAAGAGAAAUAAGGCCCACUUCACAGUAGCGCCCUCACUACAUAAAUGACUUAGUCUCAAUUUAGCAAACCACCACAUACCUAACCCAAGAGCAGGGUUUGUUAAGAUGGCAGAGCCCGGCAAUUGCAUAAAAUUUAAAACUUUACAACCAGAGGUUCAACUCCUCUUCUUAACACCAUGAUCACAACAAACUUUCUACUCCUCAUUAUACCCACACUAACCGCCAUAGCAUUCCUCACACUCGUCGAGCGAAAAUUACUGGGUUAUAUACAACUACGCAAAGGACCCAACAUCGUAGGCCCAUAUGGGCUACUACAACCCUUCGCUGACGCAGUAAAACCAAAGAACCCCUAAAACCCUCAGCAUCUACCACCAUCCUCUACACUAUUGCACCUGCCCUAGCCUUCUCCAUUGCCCUCCUCCUAUGAACCCCCCUCCCUAUGCCAAAUCCUUUAAUUAACUUCAAUCUAGGGCUCCUAUUCAUCCUGGCUACAUCUAGCCUAGCUGUCUACUCUAUCCUAUGAUCAGGAUGAGCAUCAAAUUCAAACUACACCCUAACUGGAGCCCUACGAGCUGUCGCUCAAACAAUCUCAUAUGAAGUUACUCUCGCUAUUAUUCUACUAUCAAUUCUACUGAUAAGUGGCUCAUUUAACCUCAACAUGCUUAUUACAACACAAGAAUAUCUAUGACUCCUUCCACCAUCAUGACCCCUAGCCAUAAUAUGAUUCACCUCCACACUGGCAGAAACAAAUCGAGCCCCCUUCGAUCUAACAGAAGGCGAAUCAGAACUAGUAUCAGGCUUUAAUAUUGAAUAUGCUGCAGGUCCAUUCACCUUAUUCUUUAUAGCCGAAUACAUAAAUAUUAUCAUAAUAAACGCCCUAACAACCACAAUCUUCCUAGGUACAUUCUACGCCAUUCACUCAGCAGAACUAUUCACAACGUGCUUUGUUAUAAAAACACUUCUCCUAACUUCUCUAUUUCUAUGAAUUCGAGCAACAUACCCUCGAUUCCGUUACGACCAACUCAUACAUCUACUAUGAAAAAAUUUCCUCCCACUCACACUAGCAUUUCUCAUAUGA